RNAcentral lists this ribosomal RNA (493 nucleotides) under uncultured bacterium. RNAcentral's name for it is "partial 16S ribosomal RNA". It matches the Rfam family "Bacterial small subunit ribosomal RNA", at positions 29 to 523 of the family's 1533-position model. The record is from RNAcentral.
AUUGAACGCUGGCGGCAUGCUUUACACAUGCAAGUCGAACGGUAACAGGUUAAGCUGACGAGUGGCGAACGGGUGAGUAAUGCAUCGGAUCGUGCCCGGUCGUGGGGGAUAACGCAGCGAAAGCUGCGCUAAUACCGCAUACGAUCUGAGGAUGAAAGCGGGGGACCGUAAGGCCUCGCGCGAUCGGAGCGGCCGAUGUCAGAUUAGGUAGUUGGUGGGGUAAAGGCUCACCAAGCCAACGAUCUGUAGCUGGUCUGAGAGGACGACCAGCCACACUGGGACUGAGACACGGCCCAGACCCCUGCGGGAGGCAGCAGUGGGGAAGUUUGGACAAUGGGCGAAAGCCUGAUCCAGCAAUGCCGCGUGCAGGAAGAAGGCCUUCGGGUUGUAAACUGCUUUUGUACGGAGCGAAAAGGUCCUUUCUAAUACAAGGGGCUCAUGACGGUACCGUAAGAAUAAGCACCGGCUAACUACGUGCCAGCAGCCGCCGUAA